Molecule: ribosomal RNA, 707 nt
Filed under: uncultured archaeon
Lineage: Archaea
Description: bacterial SSU rRNA
Rfam family: Archaeal small subunit ribosomal RNA
Source: RNAcentral
GGUCGAAAGAUCGUGGCCCCACACACUGCUCAGUAACACGUAGUCAACCUACCCUUGGGACGGGGACAACCUCGGGAAACUGAGGCUAAUCCCCGAUAGGUGAGGGACGCUGGAAUGCCUCCUCGCCCAAAGCUCCGGCGCCCAAGGAUGGGACUGCGGUCUAUCAGGCUGUUGGUGGUGUAACGGACCACCAAACCUACGACGGGUACGGGCGAUGGGAGUCGGAGCCCGGAGAUGGGGACUGAGACAAGGCCCCAGGCCCUACGGGGCGCAGCAGGCGCGAAAACUCCGCAAUGCGCGCAAGCGUGACGGGGGAAUCCCAAGUGCCGUUGGUCUUAUGAUCGACGGUUUUUAGGAAGUCUAAGAAGCUUCCAGAAUAAGGGCUGGGCAAGACUGGUGCCAGCCGCCGCGGUAACACCAGCAGCCCAAGUGGUGACCACGAUUAUUGGGCCUAAAGCGCUCGUAGCCGGAUCAGCAAGUCCCUUGUGAAAUCGGGCCGCCUAACGGUUCGGCGUGCAAGGGGUACUGUUGGUCUUGAGGCCGGGAGAGGUCGGAGGUACUCCUGGGGUAGCGGUGAAAUGCUCUAAUCCCUGGGGGACCACCAGUGGCGAAGGCGCUCAACGAGAACGGACCUGACGGUGAGGGACGAAGGCUAGGGGAGCGAACCGGAUUAGAUACCCGGGUAGUCCUAGCUGUAAAGUAUGCUG